AACGAAUUAUUUCGGGAAAGCGGUUGCUAAACAAACUGUAAAGUUGCCGGUGUCGACAAGAAAAAGGUUCAGUCGCCAGAAUGGGGCGGAAUGAAGGUUCGAAUCCUUCGGAGCCGGUUUAGAUGCACCUCGGGAUGCGAAUCACGAGGGAAGGGCUGAGAGUCAAACCAAUGACUCUUCGAGGCCGUGUAAAGGUUUGCACUCAGGACGUUAAAUGGGUUUAAUGGAGCAU
Molecule: unclassified non-coding RNA, 232 nt
Filed under: uncultured archaeon
Lineage: Archaea
Description: 16S-23S ribosomal RNA intergenic spacer
Source: RNAcentral